UGGGGAAUAUUGCACAAUGGGCGCAAGCCUGAUGCAGCCAUGCCGCGUGUAUGAAGAAGGCCUUCGGGUUGUAAAGUACUUUCAGCGGGGAGGAAGGUGUUGUGGUUAAUAACCACAGCAAUUGACGUUACCCGCAGAAGAAGCACCGGCUAACUCCGUGCCAGCAGCCGCGGUAAUACGAAGGGUGCAAGCGUUAAUCGGAAUUACUGGGCGUAAAGCGCACGCAGGCGGUCUGUCAAGUCGGAUGUGAAAUCCCCGGGCUCAACCUGGGAACUGCAUCCGAAACUGGCAGGCUUGAGUCUUGUAGAGGGGGGUAGAAUUCCAGGUGUAGCGGUGAAAUGCGUAGAGAUCUGGAGGAAUACCGGUGGCGAAGGCGGCCCCCUGGACAAAGACUGACGCUCAGGUGCGAAAGCGUGGGGAGCAAACA
This 427-nucleotide ribosomal RNA is filed under the name uncultured bacterium. RNAcentral's name for it is "partial 16S ribosomal RNA". It matches the Rfam family "Bacterial small subunit ribosomal RNA", at positions 355 to 774 of the family's 1533-position model. The record is from RNAcentral.